RNAcentral lists this transfer RNA (71 nucleotides) under Cronobacter phage vB_CsaM_GAP31. It matches the Rfam family "tRNA". Rfam says of the family: Transfer RNA (tRNA) molecules are approximately 80 nucleotides in length. Lineage: Duplodnaviria; Heunggongvirae; Uroviricota; Caudoviricetes. The record is from Rfam by way of RNAcentral. RNAcentral also lists the same sequence under 2 other names.
GCUUCCUUAGUUUAAUGGUAGAACCCUGUCUUUACACGGCAGUUGCGGUAGUUCGAUUCUACCAGGAAGUA